GGAGUAUGUUUGAGGGCACUGUAUUUGAUAGCAGAUUCCGUGCGAAAAGCCUCAUCACUAGCAGCAGAUUAGGAAUCCGGGCCCUCCUCCGGCCCGCUUUCUCCCCAUCCAGACCACACCACACCACACCACUUGCUCCGUCGCUCCUCCCCUUUCUUCUUCCCCACCCCCUUUCCGGCCCCCUUUUCCCAGCUCCUCGCAUAGCCAACAAGACCGGAUCGAUCAGCCCGAGCCCCCUGCGACUCCGCCGCCGUGCCGUCUCACCGCCGACGCCUCAGUCCCGCCCCCGCCCCCGCCUCAACGCCCGUCGCCGGUCCCGCUCUUCCUCGCCGGCGGCACGCCGCGCUCCUGCUGUCUACCCCCCACCCCGUCCCAGCCUCUAUCCCGCCGUUGGGUUUGAGGGAGAGCGGAAGGGGCCGAGGAAGGGAUUAGGGCUGGAGCAGGGAGCGCGCAGGCGGCGACAUGUCGGGGGAGGACGUCCGCAAGGUCCAGAAUCUCAUCGAGCGCUGUCUCCAGCUGUAUAUGAACCAGAAAGAAGUGAUUGAUACCCUCUCCCUUGAGGCCAAGAUAGAACCGAGCUUUACUGAACUUGUUUGGCAAAAACUUGAGGAAGAGAACCGUGAAUUUUUUAAGGCAUACUAUUUGAGGCUGAUGCUUAAGAAUCAAAUAACGGCCUUCAACAAGCUUCUUGAGGAUCAGUUCCAGCUUAUGAACAAAGACUAUUCUUCAGGGAUCCCUUCUAUGCCUCUUACUAAUGGCUCCAACUCCACAACAUUGAAGCAAAACUUGUGCUUUUUACCAGAGUCUGGUCCCAUAUCUGCAAUGCCAAAUGGUGUGAUGCGCAAUGGAAGUUCAGGUGGUUUAGUAAAUGGAACAUCAUCUGGUGAUCAUUCAAUUUAUGGUGGUAAAGACAUUCAUGGUCCUCAUAGUAGCAUGGAUGCUUCAACCAACGUGCUACCAGCCCAAAAUGCAUCUGCUCUGCUGUAUGGUGCAGAUAAUAAUGGUACAACAAUAAAGACAGAGUCAAGCUAUUCGAGCAACGCUGAUUUUGCUUUCUGUGGGAACGCUUUCCUUGAAUCAUGCCAAUCAAUUGGCGAUGCCUCGGGUGGUUCCUUUAGCAGCUCAGAUUUGAACGGGCAACCACUGAAUGAUGCACUUUUGGAUAUGGAGUCAUCGUCAUUUGGCUUCUUGAGCCAGAUUCCCCGGAAUUUCAGUUUUUCAGACUUAACAGAGGGGUUCAAUCAAAAUACAGAAGUAUUAGAGAAUUAUGGCAGGUCGCCAUUUCUCUCAUCUGAGCCAAAUAACUUCUCAGAUUCUACAGGUGGAGAACAUACAGGCUGAGCAGCUACCCACCUUUUUGUACAUAUUCAUGGAGAACUUGAGCAACUUUCAUGCUAGCCUUUUCCCUUAUCAGUUCCGAUGUCUUGUAAUGUAGAGUAUGGGAUGAGUUGUAACUUGAUCAAAAGAUGCAGCAGAUCUGGCCCCCGGUCGCUUGCCGAAGGUAUUGUAGUUGUGCCCUGCCUUGUACAUUGGUGUUGUGCUGUAAGAUCAGCAUUAGUAGCUGUGAUGUUAAAUUUGCUGGGUUAAUGGGUUAUGUUCUUGUCUGGCAUGUACAACAGAAGUUUAUUAAUUUCAAGUGAAUGCUGACGAGAGAGUUUGAUUUGUGAUGGCUAUGGUCAGGAACUUAGCAUGAACAUACAUCAGUUUCAUAUAUGCGCCACAUCGGAAUCUCG
This 1733-nucleotide ribosomal RNA is filed under the name Triticum aestivum (bread wheat). RNAcentral describes it as "partial small subunit ribosomal RNA". The record is from RNAcentral. Lineage: Eukaryota; Viridiplantae; Streptophyta; Magnoliopsida; Poales; Poaceae.